UUGGAGGGCAAGUCUGGUGCCAGCAGCCGCGGUAAUUCCAGCUCCAAUAGCGUAUAUUAAAGUUGUUGCAGUUAAAAAGCUCGUAGUUGAAUUUUAGACUUGGCCGGGCGGUCCGUCUUUGGCGAGUACUGUCCUGUUGUCGGGUCUUCCUUCUGGUGAACCAGUAUGUCCUUAAUUGGGUGUGUUGGGGAGCCAGGACCAUUACCUUGAAAAAAUUAGAGUGUUUAAAGCGGGCUAUUGCUUGAAUAGAUUAGCAUGGAAUAAUAGAAUAGGACGUUGUGGUUCUAUUUUGUUGGUUUCUAGGACCACCGUAAUGAUUAAUAGGGAUAGUUGGGGGCAUUAGUAUUCAAUUGUCAGAGGUGAAAUUCUUGGAUUUAUUGAAGACUAACUAUUGCGAAAGCAUUUGCCAAGGAUGUUUUCAUUAAUCAAGAACGAAAGUUAGGGGAUCGAAGACGAUCAGAUACCGUCGUAGUCUUAACCAUAAACUAUGCCGACUAGGAAUCGGGCGACGUUAUUUUCAUGACUCGCUCGGCGCCUUACGGGAAAC
This 547-nucleotide ribosomal RNA is filed under the name uncultured Ambispora. RNAcentral describes it as "SSU rRNA". It matches the Rfam family "Eukaryotic small subunit ribosomal RNA", at positions 548 to 1098 of the family's 1831-position model. The record is from RNAcentral. Lineage: Eukaryota; Fungi; Glomeromycota; Glomeromycetes; Archaeosporales; Ambisporaceae.